GCCUGAGCAGCGACGCCCGCGUGUGGGAUGACGGUCUUCGGAUUGUAAACCCCUUUCAGUAGGGACGAAACGCAAGUGACGGUUACCUGCAGAAGAAGCACCGGCUAACUACGUGCCACGCCGCCCCAACUAAUACGUAAGGUGCGAGCGUUUACCGAAAUUACUGAGCGUAAACAGCACUUAUGCGGUUUGUCACGUCCGUCAGUGAAAUCCCUCGGCUUAACCUGAGAGCCUGCAGGCUCAUACUGGCAAACUUGACUACUAACAUGGGAGACUGGAAUUCCUGGAGUAACGUUGAAAUGCCCAGAUAUCAGGAAGAACACCAGAGGUCAAGGCGAAUCUCUGGGUAGUAACUGACCCUCAGGACCGAAACCGUGGCUAACGAACAAGAUUAUAUACCCUGGUAGUCCAUACAGUACACGGUGGUCGCUACGUGAGACGACCUUCACCAGACUCCGUGACCCAUCUAACCCAUUAGGCGCCCCGCCUGGGAAGUACCGCCGCAAGGCUAAACUCAGAGGAAUUGACGGGGGCCCGCACAACGGCG
RNAcentral lists this ribosomal RNA (547 nucleotides) under uncultured bacterium. RNAcentral's name for it is "bacterial SSU rRNA". It matches the Rfam family "Bacterial small subunit ribosomal RNA", at positions 381 to 934 of the family's 1533-position model. The record is from RNAcentral.